AUUGAACGCUGGCGGCAUGCCUUACACAUGCAAGUCGAACGGCAGCACGGGAGCAAUCCUGGUGGCGAGUGGCGAACGGGUGAGUAAUAUAUCGGAACGUGCCCAGUCGUGGGGAUAACGUAGCGAAAGCUACGCUAAUACCGCAUACGAUCUAUGGAUGAAAGCGGGGGAUCGCAAGACCUCGCGCGAUUGGAGCGGCCGAUAUCAGAUUAGGUAGUUGGUGAGGUAAAGGCUCACCAAGCCGACGAUCUGUAGCUGGUCUGAGAGGACGACCAGCCACACUGGGACUGAGACACGGCCCAGACUCCUACGGGAGGCAGCAGUGGGGAAUUUUGGGACAAUGGGCGGCAAGCCUGAUCCAGCAAUGCCGCGUGCAGGAUGAAGGCC
This 387-nucleotide ribosomal RNA is filed under the name uncultured bacterium. RNAcentral's name for it is "bacterial SSU rRNA". It matches the Rfam family "Bacterial small subunit ribosomal RNA", at positions 29 to 416 of the family's 1533-position model. The record is from RNAcentral.